AGUCUGCAACUCGACUACAUGAAGCUGGAAUCGCUAGUAAUCGCGGAUCAGAAUGCCGCGGUGAAUACGUUCCCGGGUCUUGUACACACCGCCCGUCACACCAUGGGAGUCAGUAACGCCCGAAGCCGGUGACCCAACCUAUCAGGAGGGAGCCGUCGAAGGCGGGACGGAUGACUGGGGUGAAGUCGUAACAAGGUACC
RNAcentral lists this ribosomal RNA (200 nucleotides) under uncultured bacterium. Its description in RNAcentral is "partial 16S ribosomal RNA". It matches the Rfam family "Bacterial small subunit ribosomal RNA", at positions 1302 to 1500 of the family's 1533-position model. The record is from RNAcentral.